CUAGAUCUCUGUUUGCCUCCC
RNAcentral lists this microRNA (21 nucleotides) under Marchantia polymorpha subsp. ruderalis. Lineage: Eukaryota; Viridiplantae; Streptophyta; Marchantiopsida; Marchantiales; Marchantiaceae. The record is from RNAcentral.